This 450-nucleotide ribosomal RNA is filed under the name uncultured bacterium. RNAcentral's name for it is "partial 16S ribosomal RNA". It matches the Rfam family "Bacterial small subunit ribosomal RNA", at positions 354 to 796 of the family's 1533-position model. The record is from RNAcentral.
GUGGGGAAUAUUCCGCAAUGGACGAAAGUCUGACGGAGCAACGCCGCGUGAGUGAUGAAGGUUUUCGGACUGUAAAGCUCUGUUGUUUAGGACGAAAGUGCCUGUUGCAAAUAGUUACAGGUAUUGACGGUACUGAACGAGGAAGCCACGGCUAACUACGUGCCAGCAGCCGCGGUAAUACGUAGGUGGCAAGCGUUGUCCGGAAUUAUUGGGCGUAAAGAGCAUGUAGGCGGGAAUCUAAGUCUGUUGUGAAAAUGCGGGUCUCAACCCCGUAUUGCGAUGGAAACUGGGUUUCUUGAGUGCAGGAGAGGAAAGGGGAAUUCCCAGUGUAGCGGUGAAAUGCGUAGAUAUUGGGAGGAACACCAGUGGCGAAGGCGCCUUUCUGGACUGUGUCUGACGCUGAGAUGCGAAAGCCAGGGUAGCGAACGGGAUUAGAAACCCCUGUAGUCC